AUUGAACGCUGGCGGCAGGCCUAACACAUGCAAGUCGAGCGAGCGGCGGACGGGUGAGUAAUGUAUGGGGACUGCCCGAUAGAGGGGGAUAACUACUGGAAACGGUAGCUAAUACCGCAUACUAUCGGAUAACCCAUAUGGGAUUGGCUAGUAGGGGAGGUAAUGGCUCACCUAGGCGACGAUGCCUAGCUGGUCUGAGAGGAUGAGCAGACAAACUGGGACAGAGACACGGCCAAGACUCCUACGGAGGCAGCAGGGGGGAAUAUGGCACAAUGGGCGCAAGCCUGAUGCAGCCAUGCCGCGUGUAUGAAGAAGGCCCUAGGGUUGUAAAGUACUUUCAGUCUGGAGGCGUUACCUACAGAAGAAGCACCGGCUAACUCCGUGCCAGCAGCCGCGGUAAUAC
RNAcentral lists this ribosomal RNA (403 nucleotides) under uncultured bacterium. RNAcentral's name for it is "partial 16S ribosomal RNA". It matches the Rfam family "Bacterial small subunit ribosomal RNA", at positions 30 to 526 of the family's 1533-position model. The record is from RNAcentral.